This 334-nucleotide long non-coding RNA is filed under the name Panax ginseng (ginseng). RNAcentral's name for it is "long non-coding RNA (PGIN_LNC012112)". Lineage: Eukaryota; Viridiplantae; Streptophyta; Magnoliopsida; Apiales; Araliaceae. The record is from RNAcentral.
AACUUUUCAGCCUUCAAAGCUGAAAUUAACUUCACCACUCUACUCGGCUGUGAACCCUAAAACACGAAUUCUGGAGACUUCACAUCUCCAAAUAUAACCUUUUUCGCUUGACAAUCGAUAGUGGCCUGGUGCUUAUCCAACCAGUCCAUUCCAAGAAUGACAUCGAAAUCGUGCAUACUCAUCGGAAGAAGAUUAGCCCUACGAAUUUUAUCCCCAAAACUGAUCGGACACCCUCGAUACAAAUCAGAAAUAAUAACUGAAGUCCCCAUCGGGGUAGCAAUAGACAUAACAGAAUCUAAAGACUGAGAUGGCACACCCAGGUGCUGAACAAAAG